Molecule: ribosomal RNA, 253 nt
Filed under: uncultured bacterium
Lineage: Bacteria
Description: partial 16S ribosomal RNA
Rfam family: Bacterial small subunit ribosomal RNA
Source: RNAcentral
GACGGAAGGUGCAAGCGUUGCUCGGAAUCACUGGGCGUAAAGGGUGCGUAGGCGGCCGUGCAAGUCUGGCGUGAAAGCCCCGGGCUCAGCCCGGGAAGUGCGCUCGAAACUGCGCGGCUCGAGUGCCGGAGGGGAGAGUGGAAUUCCCGGUGUAGCGGUGAAAUGCGCAGAUAUCAGGAGGAACACCGAUGGCGAAGGCGGUUCUCUGGACAGUUCCUGACACUGAGGCACGAAGGCCAGGGGAGCAAACGGG